AAAAAAAUAAGCUAAUAAAGCUUUUAGGUUCAUACCCUGAAUAUAAGAAUUAAAUUUCUUUUUUUUUUA
This 69-nucleotide transfer RNA is filed under the name Agapetus zniachtl. RNAcentral's name for it is "tRNA-Met". The record is from RNAcentral. Lineage: Eukaryota; Metazoa; Arthropoda; Insecta; Trichoptera; Glossosomatidae.